CCUUGAAAUACCACCCUUUAAUGUUUGAUGUUCUAACGUGGACCCGUGAUCCGGGUUGCGGACAGUGUCUGGUGGGUAGUUUGACUGGGGCGGUCUCCUCCUAAAGAGUAACGGAGGAGCACGAAGGUUGGCUAAUCCUGGUCGGACAUCAGGAGGUUAGUGCAAUGGCAUAAGCCAGCUUGACUGCGAGCGUGACGGCGCGAGCAGGUGCGAAAGCAGGUCAUAGUGAUCCGGUGGUUCUGAAUGGAAGGGCCAUCGCUCAACGGAUAAAAGGUACUCCGGGGAUAACAGGCUGAUACCGCCCAAGAGUUCAUAUCGACGGCGGUGUUUGGCACCUCGAUGUCGGCUCAUCACAUCCUGGGGCUGAAGUAGGUCCCAAGGGUAUGGCUGUUCGCCAUUUAAAGUGGUACGCGAGCUGGGUUUAGAACGUCGUGAGACAGUUCGGUCCCUAUCUGCCGUGGGCGCUGGAGAACUGAGGGGGGCUGCUCCUAGUACGAGAGGACCGGAGUGGACGCAUCACUGGUGUUCGGGUUGUCAUGCCAAUGGCACUGCCCGGUAGCUAAAUGCGGAAGAGAUAAGUGCUGAAAGCAUCUAAGCACGAAACUUGCCCCGAGAUGAGUUCUCCCUGACCCUUUAAGGGUCCUGAAGGAACGUUGAAGACGACGACGUUGAUAGGCCGGGUGUGUAAGCGCAGCGAUGCGUUGAGCUAACCGGUACUAAUGAACCGUGAGGCUUAACCUUACAACGCCGAAG
RNAcentral lists this ribosomal RNA (753 nucleotides) under Escherichia coli. RNAcentral's name for it is "partial 23S ribosomal RNA". It matches the Rfam family "Bacterial large subunit ribosomal RNA", at positions 2190 to 2925 of the family's 2925-position model. RNAcentral also lists the same sequence under 1 other name. The record is from RNAcentral. Lineage: Bacteria; Pseudomonadati; Pseudomonadota; Gammaproteobacteria; Enterobacterales; Enterobacteriaceae.